AGGUUUUCUUUCCUCAUGCUCAUGACUUACUGGAUCCUUUCCUGCAUUAAAAUAAAAAAGACAAACCUUUUUUAGAGGAAGACGCUGUUGUGGACAUUUUUCAUAGAGAAACGUACUAUUUGUAGACUUUUUUGGCUCUCCGCCAAUUAAAGCUUUACCGCAGAGCUAUACAUGGAAUCGCCGGCUCCUAACCAUUUUACGGAGGCAUUUUUGGAAGCCCUUCGGGUUCAAGUCCCAGUAAACAACGUUCACAGGUCAGAUCCCUUGGAUGUCAGGACCGCAUCCAUGGAGAAGAGCUGCUCUGAGAGCAUCUGUAACCCUGCUAUGAGGGGGAGCCUCCCACGGGAAGCCUAAGGCCCUUGAGCCUGCUUUGAAAACCUGGGGCAUCUCAGCACAUGCACGGUGAGCUCCAAAGCCACGAAGGGGCCGGGGGCCUCGGGCUGCCCAUGUGCGCCCCGCCCAGAAAGCAGACAGACUGUUGGGCGUGCACCUUCUUCUAGGUCCCCUUGGGCUGUGUUUACCUGCAAGCUCCAUUUCCUGGGCGGCCAUAACUUGAACCUCCAACUGGUCCUUGGCAGCCAUCCUGCUGCCCUUCCUGCCCACGGGCUCCGUGGCUGACUGGCCUGGGAAGCUAGAGGCGACCUCUGAACCUGGACAAGCUACCAGGUCUCCAGGACUGAAGGUUAUCAUCUAAGUUGGUGUUCUCAACUGGAGGCGAUUUACCCCCCACCCAGGAGACAGUUGGCAAUGUCUGGAGGAUAAGGACUCAGGACCUACCGAAUGGCAGAACUAAAAGAGCUAUAACAUAAACAGGGCUGAAACGUGCCCUGUGCUCACCACGCUGUGGGUGAAGAGAAGGAGAGAAGAGAUGCAGCCACUCAGGGAGCCCAGACCUGGGAGCUCCCCGAGCCCAGGCUGUGACUCCCUCUUUGAGGUCCUGUGGUUUCUGGUGUUUGCUGAGCUCCUGAACACCACCACAUUCCCUGGUGCCAGCUGGGGAAGCUGCUUGCCAUGCACAUGGUCAAGCCACAGCCUCACAGAGAGCCAGUGUCUGUUCCAGCACCUGGAGCUGCCCGCCCCACUGCAGCAGCCAGCAUGCCUGACUGUGUGCAGUGGCCGGACCCCAUGCUUGCUCGUUCACACACCCCCUGCCACUCCCCACCUGGCUCACCCUUGGCAGGUGUGGGAUCCAGGCUGGUAGUGUGAACCAAGCACAGCCUGCCAGGCCAGGUGAGCAGAACGAGGUGAGCAGGCCUGAGCAAAAGUCAGGCAAAGGCACCACUGGCCACAGAGUUUUCUGGCCAGAAAAGCAACACCCCAAAGAUCCCAUGAAAAUAAAAGGAGACUGAGCCAGCUGGUGUGGACUUUCCCUUUUCUCUUCCCAUUUUCCUCCUGCUUGAAUACAGAAGGGAUGCUUGUUACCAUGAAAAUGAGGGAAAGACUAAGACAACUGCACAGACAUGGGCCCAGCCAGAAUGGGGCACAGCUUUGAUCUGAACAUUGACAACUGCCUGUCUUCAAAAUUCAUGUUACAUAAGAAAAAAAAAACCUGUAAGUUUAAGCCAUUCAAGUUGGGUUUUCAGUUAUUUGCAUCUGAACACAACACUAAGCAUACAAUGUGCAUGAAGCAAUAAAAGAGCUGUGUCUAUGGAAGUUUGGUUAGUCAAUUAAUGCCACCUUCUCUGUGAAAUCCCAGGGACUUUGAGUUCUGGUCU
RNAcentral lists this long non-coding RNA (1715 nucleotides) under Homo sapiens (human). RNAcentral's name for it is "HSALNT0406981". The record is from RNAcentral. Lineage: Eukaryota; Metazoa; Chordata; Mammalia; Primates; Hominidae.